Molecule: ribosomal RNA, 521 nt
Filed under: uncultured Desulfobulbaceae bacterium
Lineage: Bacteria; Pseudomonadati; Thermodesulfobacteriota; Desulfobulbia; Desulfobulbales; Desulfobulbaceae
Description: bacterial SSU rRNA
Rfam family: Bacterial small subunit ribosomal RNA
Source: RNAcentral
AGUGCCGUUCGCAAGAUAAAAAUAAAAAGGAAUUAACGGGGGCCCGCACAAACGGUGGAGUAAGUGGUUAAUUAGAUGCAACGAGAAGAACCUUACCUGGUCUUGACAUCCCGGAGAUGUCCUGGAAACAGGAGAGUGCUUUCAUUAGAGAGAAUCCGGUGACAGGUGCUGCAUGGCUGUCGUCAGCUCGUGUCGUAAGAUGUUGGGUUAAGUCCCGCAACGAGCGCAACCCUCGCCAUUAGUUGCCAUCAUUUAGUUGGGCACUCUAAUGGGACUGCCGGUGUCAAACCGGAGGAAGGUGGGGAUGACGUCAAGUCCUCAUGGCCUUUAUGACCAGGGCUACACACGUACUACAAUGGCCGACACAAAGGGCAGCCACAGGGUGACCUGGAGCGAAUCCCGUAAAGUCGGUCUCAGUCCGGAUUGGAGUCUGCAACUCGACUCCAUGAAGUUGGAAUCGCUAGUAAUCGUGGAUCAGCAUGCCACGGUGAAUACGUUCCCGGGCCUUGCACACACCGCCC